GCUUGUCUCAAAGAUUAAGCCAUGCAUGUCUAAGUAUAAAUGUUAUACAGUGAAACUGCGAAUGGCUCAUUAAAACAGUUAUAGUUUAUUUGAUAAUCGAAUUUACAUGGAUAACCGUGGUAAUUCUAGAGCUAAUACAUGCUGGUUAGCCUGACUUUUAGGAAGGGCUGUAUUUAUUAGAUAAAAAACCAAUGCAGGCAACUGCUCUCUUGGUGAUUCAUAGUAACUUUUCGGAUCGCACGACUUCACGUUGGCGACAGUUCAUUCAAAUUUCUGCCCUAUCAGCUUUCGACGGUACUGUAGUGGACUACCGUGGCAUUAACGGGUGACGGAGAAUUAGGGUUCGAUUCCGGAGAGGGAGCCUGAGAAACGGCUACCACAUCCAAGGAAGGCAGCAGG
RNAcentral lists this ribosomal RNA (399 nucleotides) under uncultured Bodomorpha. RNAcentral's name for it is "partial small subunit ribosomal RNA". It matches the Rfam family "Eukaryotic small subunit ribosomal RNA", at positions 30 to 432 of the family's 1831-position model. The record is from RNAcentral. Lineage: Eukaryota; Cercozoa; Glissomonadida.